AGAGUUUGAUCCUGGCUCAGGAUGAACGCUGGCGGCGCGCUUAACACAUGCAAGUCGAACGGUUAAAGCACCUCCGGGUGUGCAUAAAGUGGCGAACGGCUGAGUAACACGUGGGCAACCUGCCCCCCGCACCGGGAUAGCCUCGGGAAACCGUGGGUAAUACCGGAUACUCCCUCCCCCCCGCAUGGCGGGGAGGGGAAAGCGUACACGGCGGGGGAUGGGCCCGCGGCCUGUUAGCUCGUUGGCGGGGUAACGGCCCACCAAGGCUAUUAUGGGUAGCCGGGUUGAGAGACCGACCGGCCAGAUUGGGACUGAGACACGGCCCAGACUCCUACGGGAGGCAGCAGUGGGGAAUCUUGCACAAUGGGCGAAAGCCUGAUGCAGCGACGCCGCGUGCGGGAAGAAGGCCCUCGGGUUGUAAACCGCUUUCAGCAGGGACGAGGCGCAAGUGACGGUACCUGCAGAAGAAGCCCCGGCUAACUACGUGCCAGCAGCCGCGGUAAUACGUAGGGGGCGAGCGUUAUCCGGAUUCAUUGGGCGUAAAGCGCGCGUAGGCGGCCAGUUAGGUCGGGAGUCAAAUCCGGGGGCUCAACCCCCGUCCGCUCCCGAUACCGGCUGGCUUGAGUCUGGUAGGGGAAGGUAGAAUUCCAAGUGUAGCGGUGGAAUGCGCAGAUAUUUGGAAGAACACCGGUGGCGAAGGCGGCCUUCUGGGCCACGACUGACGCUGAGGCGCGAAAGCUAGGGGAGCGAACAGGAUUAGAUACCCUGGUAGUCCUAGCCGUAAACGAUGGGCACUAGGUGUGGGGGGACGAUCCCUCCGUGCCGCAGCUAACGCAUUAAGUGCCCCGCCUGGGGAGUACGGCCGCAAGGCUAAAACUCAAAGGAAUUGACGGGGG
This 896-nucleotide ribosomal RNA is filed under the name uncultured bacterium. RNAcentral describes it as "bacterial SSU rRNA". It matches the Rfam family "Bacterial small subunit ribosomal RNA", at positions 8 to 919 of the family's 1533-position model. The record is from RNAcentral.